GAUGAACGCUGGCGGCGUGCCUAAUACAUGCAAGUCGAGCGAACAGACGAGGAGCUUGCUCCUCUGACGUUAGCGGCGGACGGGUGAGUAACACGUGGAUAACCUACCUAUAAGACUGGGAUAACUUCGGGAAACCGGAGCUAAUACCGGAUAAUAUAUUGAACCGCAUGGUUCAAUAGUGAAAGACGGUUUUGCUGUCACUUAUAGAUGGAUCCGCGCCGCAUUAGCUAGUUGGUAAGGUAACGGCUUACCAAGGCAACGAUGCGUAGCCGACCUGAGAGGGAGAUCGGCCACACGGGAACUGAGACAGGUUCCAGACUCCGACGGGAGGAAGCAGUAGGGAAUCUUCCGCAAGGGGGGAAAGCCGGACGGAGCAACGCCGCGUGAGGGAUGAAGGUGUUCGGAUCGGAGAACUCUGUUAUUAGUAGAGAAGAAAUGUGUAAUUAACUAUGCAGAUCUUGACGGUAGCUAGAGAGAAAGCCACGGCUAACUACGUG
RNAcentral lists this ribosomal RNA (497 nucleotides) under uncultured bacterium. RNAcentral describes it as "partial 16S ribosomal RNA". It matches the Rfam family "Bacterial small subunit ribosomal RNA", at positions 28 to 507 of the family's 1533-position model. The record is from RNAcentral.